RNAcentral lists this ribosomal RNA (429 nucleotides) under uncultured bacterium. RNAcentral describes it as "bacterial SSU rRNA". It matches the Rfam family "Bacterial small subunit ribosomal RNA", at positions 29 to 500 of the family's 1533-position model. The record is from RNAcentral.
AACGAACGCUGGCGGCAGGCUUAACACAUGCAAGUCGAACGGGUGCAGCAAUGCAUCAGUGGCAGACGGGUGAGUAACACGUGGGAACCUUCCUAGGGGUACGGAACAACUCAGGGAAACUUGAGCUAAUACCGUAUACGUCCGUGAGGAGAAAGAUUUAUCGCCCUUAGACGGGCCCGCGUCGGAUUAGCUAGUUGGUGGGGUAACGGCCUACCAAGGCGACGAUCCGUAGCUGAUCUUAGAGGAUGAUCAGCCACACUGGGACUGAGACACGGCCCAGACUCCUACGGGAGGCAGCAGUGGGGAAUCUUGGACAAUGGGCGCAAGCCUGAUCCAGCCAUGCCGCGUGAGUGAAGAAGGUCUUCGGAUUGUAAAGCUCUUUUGUCCAGGGACGAUAAUGACGGUACCUGGAGAAUAAGCCCCGGCAAA